Molecule: transfer RNA, 75 nt
Filed under: Podarcis lilfordi (Lilford's wall lizard)
Lineage: Eukaryota; Metazoa; Chordata; Lepidosauria; Squamata; Lacertidae
Description: tRNA.Lys
Rfam family: tRNA (bases 8-65)
About the family: Transfer RNA (tRNA) molecules are approximately 80 nucleotides in length.
Source: RNAcentral
UCAUCCGUAGCUCAGUCGGUAGAGCAUGAGACUCUUAAUCUCAGGUUCAUGGGUUGGAGCCCCACAUUGGGCAAA